GCAAACUUGGUCAUUUAGAGGAAGUAAAAGUCGUAACAAGGUUUCCGUAGGUGAACCUGCGGAAGGAUCAUUAUUGAAUAAACUUGAUGUGGUUGUAGCUGACUCUUUACUGAGUAAGUGCUCGCCCGUCAUCUUUAUCUUUCCACCUGUGCACUUUUUGUAGACUUGGAUGUAACUUUGCUGAGGUUAACUCGGUUAUUAGGAAUGCUAUCUAGCUUUCCUUGCAUGUCCAAGUCUAUGUUUCUAUUUACCCCAAUCAAUGUUUAGAAUGUUCUAAGCCUUCGUGCUUAUAAACUUAUACAACUUUCAGCAACGGAUCUCUUGGCUCUCGCAUCGAUGAAGAACGCAGC
Molecule: unclassified non-coding RNA, 350 nt
Filed under: uncultured fungus
Lineage: Eukaryota; Fungi
Description: partial contains small subunit ribosomal RNA, internal transcribed spacer 1, and 5.8S ribosomal RNA
Rfam family: Eukaryotic small subunit ribosomal RNA (bases 1-73)
Source: RNAcentral